GCCUAACACAUGCAAGUCGAACGGUAGCACAGAGAGCUUGCUCUCGGGUGACGAGUGGCGGACGGGUGAGUAAUGUCUGGGAAACUGCCCGAUGGAGGGGGAUAACUACUGGAAACGGUAGCUAAUACCGCAUAACGUCUUCGGACCAAAGUGGGGGACCUUCGGGCCUCACACCAUCGGAUGUGCCCAGAUGGGAUUAGCUAGUAGGUGGGGUAACGGCUCACCUAGGCGACGAUCCCUAGCUGGUCUGAGAGGAUGACCAGCCACACUGGAACUGAGACACGGUCCAGACUCCUACGGGAGGCAGCAGUGGGGAAUAUUGCACAAUGGGCGCAAGCCUGAUGCAGCCAUGCCGCGUGUAUGAAGAAGGCCUUCGGGUUGUAAAGUACUUUCAGUGGGGAGGAAGGCGAUG
RNAcentral lists this ribosomal RNA (412 nucleotides) under Erwinia persicina. RNAcentral's name for it is "bacterial SSU rRNA". It matches the Rfam family "Bacterial small subunit ribosomal RNA", at positions 46 to 456 of the family's 1533-position model. The record is from RNAcentral. Lineage: Bacteria; Pseudomonadati; Pseudomonadota; Gammaproteobacteria; Enterobacterales; Erwiniaceae.